RNAcentral lists this long non-coding RNA (382 nucleotides) under Salmo salar (Atlantic salmon). Its description in RNAcentral is "lncRNA (ENSSSAG00000089138.1)". Lineage: Eukaryota; Metazoa; Chordata; Actinopteri; Salmoniformes; Salmonidae. The record is from RNAcentral.
GCCAGCCAGCCUGGACAUAUACAACUUUUUUAUGAGAAGCAGAACAAUUUAUUACAGGGAAGAUCAGCAGAGUACUAAAUCCUUGGGGAUGCUGGAAGGACACUACUGUUAUAGUGUUGAUAAUCUUGUUCUGGGCUGUAAAAACAACAGGGGGAGAAGGGAGAGGAUGGAUGAUGUCAUGCUGCUGUGGACUUUCCAGUCAAACAACCCGUAGUGGAGCUACUCUUGGCUCCAAGAGAAAGUGAAGGAGGCCAACCUUGACCCCCGUGACAGCGUGGUUGCCAUGGAAGCACAGGUCUUGCAUAGUUUCAGAGUUAGAUAAAGAUGUGGAACGAUACACACGCUGCGCUUUGGUCCGCUCCUUCAUACGACAUUCGUGACA